AUAUAAAAGAUGCACAAGCACGUGAUUUAAACGGAAAAAGAAACAGUGCUACAAAACUAAACUACGGGAGUGAAUAAAACGAUCAUCAAGCGACAGCCCCUCCGACAGCUCACCGGAAAUCAAGGUUUCACCGGAAUAACUCAAUCUCACCGGAAAAUUGAUUUUACCGGAAAAUUUGGCCAUUCCAAAUAUAACAAAUGAAAACCCACUAAACUCUAAACCAAAUUCAACAACAAAUUCUACACUAAAAAGCCCCUAAACUACUCAUUUUUGACCAAAACAAGACUCAAAUCAAACCAAAUGAACUCCAAACUACACCAAAUUUCAAAUCUAGCCUAAACAUAAUAUUUCCAACAUAAACCCACUAACCUCAAUUCAAAAUCAUAAACUAAAAUUUACACCAAAAAGCCCCCAAAAAUACUAAAACCAAGAACAAGAACAACACCAAAGCAUACCAAACUAACUCCAAAUCAAGCCAAACUUCAAAACUAGCUUAUCUACCAUGUUUCUAACAAAACCCCAUCAAAAUACAAACCAAAAUAUCAACUACAUCAUUGAACCCACUAAUAAUAUUGAGAAUUAUAAGGGGCUCAAGCUAAAUACUAAAAAUGUAAGCUUAAAACAUAAACUAAAGGCUCUUUCAACCCACAAGUGGUUGGCAUAAAUGCCACUUUAUCCACUUGUUGAAGGGAAAGUUGGUCAUAGCCAUAAAUUUCAACAAGGUAAGAAUGCAAGAGAUAAAGAAACCAAACUUGAACUUAUAUAAAUGAAAGUGUUUACAAUAUUUGAGAGAUUACAAUUUGAAAGAACAAGCUAUUCUAGAUGUUGAGAAUGAUAAAGGAGGCUACUAACAACUAGGUAAAAACUAGGGUAAAGACUAAGCUAAAACUAAGUUGGUGGCUAAUGAGAGAAAAGGAUAUUUAUAUAGGCCUAGAUUAGGGUUUUAGGGGUAGAAGGAUCCUUGUGUCUUGAUUUUCUUUUCCUUUUCUUCUUCUUCUUCUUUUUCUUUUCUUUUUCUUCCUCUUUUUCCCUUCUUGCACCUUUUUGUUCCUUUUUCUCUUGAAUUCUCGCUUUCCCUAAAAAUUCCUGAAAACAAAAUAAUUAACUAAUAAAAUACGAAAACAAGCAAUAACAUCACUAGACAAUCUCUCCAUCAAAGGUCUUGUGCAAAUGUGUGUGCAAUCUUGGAAUUACGAGUACAAAUCGGUCGAUACAAGUUUCAAAAAGACAACCUUACUCAACUACGUUCAAAUUAUCUAAAAGACACUACAUAUAUGUACUUUUCGAAAACAUGCUAAACACCAACUACUCCUAAAGUUCGAGUGAGGGAAAGACAGUCUUAGCUAAAACAUCUUUAUUUUUGAAUUUUUCUAAUUUUUCAUUUUUUACGGUUUUUUCAUUUUUUAAGAAUUACACUAAAGCCCUCCUCAUACCUAAAUCAUGCAUUGUCCUCAAUGUAUGCAAAAGAGAGAAUUGAAAUGAGAGAGUAAAGAGGAAAAAAACCUGAAUUGCAUAUGAAGAGGAUUUUUAUUAACGAACGAAACACUAACACGACUCACACACUCAUACAUUUCCUUCCCCAUACCUGAACUUCAUGAGGGAAGGUUCUAAGAAGAACCAAAUCAACCAAUUCCGGAAGGAAAUAUAGGAGGAAGCUUCGAGAAAGAGUCAAAAUGUGUGCAAAAAUUUUUAAGCAAAAAGACUUUCUCUAGCAUGUGACCAUCGUUUACCCCUAUAUGACAAGCAUCACUAAUGUUCUCCCUAAACCAACUUAAUGCUUCUUUAUUAUCAAGCAAAUUAGAGACUAUGCAAUUUUGGUCAUGGGAUAAAUCACUAGGAACGAUGUAAGAAAUGAUGUCAUCCUUUCCUAAGGCGCUAUGUGAAUGAUGGAACAAUGAGUCAAAUGUCGAUGGUUUACCAACAUGACUCUCAAAAUCGGGCUUAGGGUCAAUGCUAACAAUCUCGGGUGGAGUUUCCCAUUUUGAAUAAAUGUCGUUCAAUUCUCCUAACAUCUCUUCUGAGGUCAACUCCUUCAAAGACUCAUGAUAUUCCCUAUUAUUCUCAUUGUUGACUUUGAAAUCCUCACCAAGAAGAGACUCAAUCUCACUAUCCUCGAAACUAGACCAUGUGACAAACUUGUUGACCACAUUAACCCCUAUAGGUUGCUCAUAAAGUUCAUUGGGUUCUUUUCCUACAUUGAAAAUGUUUAAGUCUAUGGUCAUGUUUCCAAAAGUGAGCUUCAUUGAACCAUUCCUACAAUUGAUUAAGGCAUUGGAUGUAGCAAGAAAAGGUCGUCCUAAAAUGAUAGGAAUUUGGUUCUUAGGAUUCGAGACGGGUUGAGUCUCGAGAACAACAAAGUCAACGGGAAAGAUAAAGUCACCGAUUUUGAUCAACACAUCCUCAAUAAUCCCCUUUGGCAUUUUAAUAGAACGAUCGGCAAGUUGAAGGGUCAUAUUGGUGGUCUUGAGAUCCCCUAAACCUAGGGCUUGGUAGACCGAGAAAGGAAGAAGAUUCACACUCGCUCCUAAAUCAAGUAAAGCUUUAUCCACAAAAGUAUUGCCUAUGACACAAGAAAUUGUAGGACAACCGGGGUCCUUAUAUUUCACGGGAAUUUGAUUCGAGAGAAUCGAGCUUACUUGCGAGGUUAAAAAGGCUUUCUUAGGAACAUGGGUGGUUCGCUUAUGGGUACACAAAUCUUUUAGACACUUGGCAUACGAAGGAACUUGUUGAAUGGCAUCUAAAAGAGGAAUGUUUAUCUUGACUUGUUUAAAACCUCUAGAAUUUGUUCCAUUUGGGCCGAUUGUUUAGGGCGAAUGAGUCUUUGCGGGUAAGGAACCUUUAGCUUAUAAACUUCUUCGUUGGGCUUUUGAGAGAUGGGGCCAGGACUAGGUUCACUCAUAGACUCACUGACUCUAGAACAUUCGGGCUUAUCAUGAUUAGUGCUAGACAAAGAAGGAUUUGUUUUAGGAAUCGACUCCGCAUUUUCAUUCACGUGCUCACCUACUUUGUUAUCCACUUGAUUUCCCGACCUUAGAGAAAUAAUCGCAUUAACAUUCUCGGGAGGUCUUUGAUUGAGAGGAAACUUAGGAUUGACCUCGGGUUGACUUGGCAACUUGUUCUUCUCUCGCUCACACAAUGUGCUAGCUAAUUGACUCAUUUGGGCCUCUAACUUAGACACGGCUUGCACAUUAGAAUGCAAAAUUUGCCUAUCUUGGGUUAGGGUUUGCAUGAAGGUUUGUUGAGAUUGGGUCAAAUUAGUUUACGAUUUCACUAAGGCUUCCAAACUUUUUUCUAAGGAAUUAAGACGUUUAUCCGAAUCAUUAAAACCGGGAGGAUUCAAAGGUGUUUGGAUUGGAUAACGAAUUGAAUUCGGAAUUUGGGUUGAGCAAGAGUUUGUGUUCGGCCUUUGUUGAAAAUUUGGUUGAUGAGUUUGAAAAGUUGGGUUUUGAUUUUGAAAAAAUUUGACCUUGGGUCCAUGAGAAAUUUGGGUGAUUUCUCCAACCCGGAUUGUACGUGGGUUCAAAUGGGUCAUUCCUAGGAUUUUGAAACAUUGCGCUCACAUGUUCAAAUUCGUGCGAGGGUUGGGUUGCGGGAUUCACUACACCAUAUUUCACCUGUUGCAACGGCUGAAAAAUGUAGCCUUAGGGCCUAAAAUUGUUACAAUAAACGUUUUGGUAACAUUUUUGUUAAAAUUUGGUGUUGCAUUUGCUGCCGUUGCAAUAGACCCCUGUUGCAACAUAUAUUUUGUUUCUUGCAACAUUUUUGAGGUAUUGCAAUAGACUUUUAAUUGUAAUCUAUUGCAACAUUUUCGAGACCUUUGGUAACAAUUUUAUAGUGUUACAAUAAAUUUACUGUAACAUUUCUUUGUAACACUAUAUACUUAAAAACUGUUGCAUACCAAUAAUUUGAAAUUUUGUUGUAACAGUUUUGUGCAACAAUAUUAAACCAAUUGCAAUACUUUUUAGUUUUUUGGUAACACAUUUGUGCAACAGUUUUAUGUGUAUUGUAAUGCUUUUAAAUUUUCUGGCAACAUUAUGUAUUCUCUUACAAUACUUUUGAGGCCUGAUUUACAAUGAUACUAUAUAAAUGCAAUAGUACUAUGAAAUUUUCUUGACUUGAAACUAACCAAAAGAAAAUACAAAGUACAAACCGAGUCAUCAAGUUGAAAGAUACAUAGAAACCGGAGUAAUGUACCAAUUUAUAAACCAUCCUUACAAAAGUCAAUCUAAAAGCAAGAAUAGAUGAAGAAGUAAAAAUAAAAAGUGACUAAAAAUCUUCAUUCAUCACUAUGUUGAGAAGCUGCAUUCCCAUCCUCCUCAUUCUUAAGUGACUAAAAGCUGCAUUCUAUAUUUUCAUCUGCAUAAGUGUAGUUUAAUAGACUGCAAGGCAAUAACAAGAACCAAAUAUAAAUUCUAUAAGUACAAAUACUACAUAUGUUUGUCGACAAUUUAGUUAUAUAUGUUACAUGAACCUUGUGCACAUGACCCAUUCAUACUUAAAUUAGUCAUAUUAGCAUAAAGAGGUUUCUGAACUUCUGCAAGGUUGAAAUAGAAGCCUCUUUCAUUAACCAUGCAAACAUCAACUCCUACACUAAUUUUAGUAGCCUGCAAUAAUGAGAUAGUCUUACAUAAGUACUACUAUGCAAUAUAAUCAAAGGUAAAUAAUUAAAAAAUGAGGUAGAUUGAUUUGUGUACCAUUUUCCAUAGACGCAGCCCUUAUUCUACUAUGGAUGGUUAGCAAUUAUAGAGAAUCACAACAUUAUCUAAUCAAAGCUGAUGGGAGAAGCAUCAGCAAAUAUAUAUGAUAUAAAAAAAAUAAUGAAUUAGUUUUUAUACCUCAUGAAUGUACGAGGUACAUAUACUUUUCCCUUCAUGCCCCCCGUAUGUACCCAUAUGAAGCAGUGAGAAUGCCACCUUCAGUGCAAUCAGCGGUGAUCUUCUUUUACAAGUCUAGUAACCUGCAUUAUACUUAAAAGUAACUACUUUAAGUUCUACUGGUAGUAUUAAAGUAAGUUUCAAAGUUUUUUGUACGUAAUGGUUAGCUUUUAUCACACAUAGGCUAAGUAAACAGAGAGUGAAAGUGAGUAAACUAUCAAUAAUGAACAUAUACAAACAAGAUUAGAAAAUUAAAUAUAAAAAGAUAUGUAUAAAUAAAACACCAUCUUGGCAGCAUUGUGUGCAUCAAGCUCUUCUUCUGGCCGCAAUUCUAAAGAAGACAGCUCCUCCUUUAUAGCCUGAUACAAUUUAUGUCAUUCAUCUCAGAUUUAUUAUAAGCUAACAUAUGUAAAUGGUUUGUUAAUAUUAACACAAUGUGUGAUGGAUGAGAGAAUCAACUUAAAUCAUCCUUGUUUCAGUUAGUUCUCUAUUUCUCAUUAUUGUUUUCCUUUUCGUUAAAUAUUGUCCUGCAGCAUAGUGUUUAACAUUCUGUCAAAGUGAAAAUACCAAGACACAGCUUGACAUAUGCUCUUUCACAACCAAUUAACCAUUUUAGUAUCUAACUAUUUCCAAAAGUCAAAAAAGAAACUAAUAAAGGUCACUAUAAUAAAACUUAACUUGGCAUGUGGAUCAGGCAUAUGACAGAAUAACAAACAGGCAUAACAUCUUUUUACAUUAAAACAGACAAACACAUACACAUACUCAGUAAUAAAGCAAAAACGAGCAAAGUUCCAAGCAAGCAAUACACUAAGCAACCAAGUACCAAAAAUGGAUGACUAAGCAACGAAGUAACAGAAAAAAAUAAUACCUCGCUUUGGUUUCCUCGCUACUAACCAAAACCCAAACAUCCAAACUCCAAUCACAAACAAAAACUCCAAACUCCAAUUGAAACCCACCUGAACUUCUAGCUUUAAAGUCCGGUCGAAACCCACUUGACCCUCUUACACCCACAUGACCCCAUUGAAAACUAACCAAAAUAACACAAGAAGAAGGUAAUUAAAAUAUUGAAUUCUUAGAACAGACAUCCUUGACACAAAGAAACAAAUCUAUGCAAGAAAGACCCAGACAAUGACAUACCCGGAGGUUUUAUGAGUUUGUACCAGCAAAUCGAACAAUCGAAACUCUAAAGGAAACAAAUCGGAGCUUGUAUGACCUUCUAAUUGACCAUAAGAGCUUGUAUGAGCUUUUACUCAACCAGAAUGAUCGCAUCGAAGCUUGUAUGAACAAAUCGAAGAAUGAGAAAGAAGGGGCUAAGGUUCCCAAAGAAGACGGCAGCUUAUAUGUUUUAAUGUUUUUUGUCUAAAGUUUAUGUUUUAAACCUGUUAAACUUAAUGUUUAUGUUUUAAACCUGUUAAACUUAAUGUUUUAUUUUAAGAAACUGUUACAAAGCGGGAGUUGUGAAAUUGAUUAAGGGGGGAAAUUUAUUUAAUUUUUUAUUAAGCGUGCACACGGACAACUCAUAAAAUUUAUUUAAUUUUUUUAAUUUUAUAAAAAAUUAUUAUUUUAUGGUAUAUGUUGUUUCAAAUUUUUUAAUAUUUAUUAAAAUAAGUUAACCAUUAAUAUUAAUAUAAAAUCUAAUAUUUUAAUAUUUAUAAAAAUAAAUUAAUCAAUUAUUUGCUAAUUAGAAUGUUUUUACAAUUAAUUUUAUCCAUAUUAAUUACAUUAAGUUGGAUGAUAAGAUCAUUUUAAAAUUAUUUUUUAAAAAAAAUUUAAACUUAUUUAAAAAUAAUUAAAUAUUUUUACAACAUUUAAAAUAUAUAAAUAUUUAUUUACUUGGACGACCUUAUAUAUAUUUUUAAAUUGAAUAUUGAUUAGUGCCAAAGUCAAUAAAUAUGUAAAUUUGAAAUUCAUAAUUAAAUAGUAUAAUUUUGUUUAUUAAUACUCUAUUGCAGCACAUGGAUUUGGCUAUGAUAACAAAAUGGAUAUACAAAGGAGAAGAGGAGAUAUUUGUUUUUUGAAAGUGAAAUGUUUGUUUUGGGGUGUUUGUUUUUGGGUAACUAUUUUGGUACCCGCCACUGAAAAAAAGAAGAAGCCCGCCUAAUUUUUUAUUCCACUUGACAAAUAUGUUGCAAACAACCGUAACGUUUAAAAAAAGUGUUACAAUUGGCAUCAACUUUUUUAACUCUCACUAAAAAUUACCAAGCAUGCAACACUUUUCAGUUUUAGGUAACAUUUUCAAAAACUAUUACAAAAGAGUAGCUAUUUUUUGGCCUAUUGCAACAUUUUUUGCAACAUGCCGUUGCAACAGGUCAAAUAUGGUGUAGUGAUUGUAAUUCGGGUAGGUUGACAUAUGUGGGGGAGAUUUACUAGUUUCUAAAGCUUCGAGUCUCUUAGUUAGGGUAACUAAUUUGGCAUCGGUUGCCACAUUGUUUCCUAUCGAGUGCAAACCCCUCGAGCUAGAUGACUCGAUCGACUUUUUAGGUUCCCUCGUUGACUCCCACAACAUAGUCUUUUCCGCUAAAUCUUCGAAAAAUUCUCACCCUUGGUCCUCAUCUUUCUCCAUGAAUUUACCUUGGCACAUAGACUCUAAUAACGCAGUGGUUUGACUAUCUAAGGCCUCGUAAACUAUUUUGCAAAGUCUCCAUUUUUCUAUUCCGUGGUGGGGGCAUUGUGAUAGGAGAUUUUUAAAACGAUCAAAGAAUUUCCAAAAAGACUCAUUUUCCCUUUGAUGAAAUUGAUUUAUUUCAUUUGUAAUUCGAGUAGUCUUAUGAUUUGGAAAAUACUUUUUAAGAAAAACCACCAAAAACCCCUCCCACGUGGAAAUAGAAUUAACGGGAAGACUAUAUAACCAUUUUUUCGCAUUCUCUUUAAGCGCAAAAUUAAUGAGCCUAAGUCUAAUCGAAUCUUCCGUCAAUUGGUGGAGCUUUUGAAGGGAACAAACUUCCUCGAAUUCUUGGAUGAAAAGAUAAGGAUCCUCACCCUCACUCCCGGUAAUUUAGGUAACAUGCUAAUAUGAUGAGCUUUGAUUUCAAAAUUGUUCCCAUUUACCGGAGGAAGGGUGAUGCACGAUGGUUGACUUGAACGAGAUGGGUAACAACGAUCUUUGAGUGAAAGGGCCAUGUUAACUAUCGGUUCUUGAACUUAUAGGGUUUUGGAAUCCGAAGAGGACAAGGGAAUCUCGAUUAUAGGUCUUACUAAUCUAGAUGACUCGUUCCUAACCCAAGUAGUUCGCAUAAACAAGAUAGUAAACACGUAGCAAAUAAGUGCUAAAAAGUAAAACAAAUAAAAGAAAGGGUGUAAAAGCGAAAGAAUAACCUAAUUCUAGGGUUCCCUAAUAAAAAGAACUAGACCUUGCUCCUAACGUUAAGGACCACCAAAAACUCGAUAAAUCAAUUAUUAUUCGGACCGGUUUGGCCAGUUUGGAGCAGGCAUUGCCAAGAGGCCAAUCUCCGCGCUUAGACACCAAACCUUAAUCGGUCAGGUAAGCUUUCGCUAGCCUUAGACACCGAAGAGUCGGAAUAAUUAAAGAUUACCUCGUUCUUUAGGUACCUUCCUAAUUGAGCGCGAAAAUCCUAGGGGUUAACAUCUAAUUCAUUUUAUUAAAGAGGCAUGGGAAUGCAAAAUGAAGAAUUAAAUUGUUGUGGGCCAAGGAAAGAGUUAUGAAACCCCUCCCCUUAUCUUAUGAAUGGGUUUUGCCCUUAAGAUUUAUUUAAAAUGAUGCUCCACACAACGAUAUAAUUAAAGCUAUAAACAAUUGUGGAUGCUCUAAACUAUGUGUUUUAUCUAAAGAAAGAAAGAAAUUAACGCACCUUAGGGUCCUCCAGCGAUCAGCACAAUUAAAGGUACGAAAAUUUAAAAACAAAAAUUAAAAUCUAAAUGAUGUGCACUAAGUGCAAAAUGCAUGAUGCAACACAUAUGUAAUUCUAUCUAAUAUUUUUGGAUUUUAAAAUUAUAAUUUGUUUGUGUUUUUCAAUUUUCAGAUUUUUUUUGUGAUUUUCUAAAUAAAAAAAUUGAAAUAGGAGAGAGAUACAAGUUACCCAAGCAAGCUUCCAAUACUUCAAGAAUAUUCUCCACUUAUUCCAAGCUAGCUCAUAUUCCUCCAAUUUCCUAAAAUGCAAACAAAAAGAAGUGAGAGAAUAUUAAAAAAAAACUAAUCCGAAAAAUUAAAAAUUAAGUCGCGAAAAUUAAUUUUAGUCCCCGGCAGCGGCGCCAAAAAGUUGAUGUGCUAGAAAUAAUGAUUUUGAUUGCAAGCGCACAAUCCCGUUUUAAUAUUUUUAGAUUCGUUCCACAAGGACUAAAGUUAUUUUCGCAAAAACCUUAAUUUUUAAGUUAAUCAAAUUAGACCAAAAGAUUUUGAGAGAUUUUAUAAUCUAAAUGACAAAACGUAAUCUAAGAAAAUAAUUAGAAUUUUUGAAAAAAGUUUUAACAACUAAAAUUAUAUAUUAAUUAUAAAAAGAUUUAGAUGUGAAUGUGUUUGUAAAUUGUAAUGCGCGGAAAAGAAAAGGAAGGUGAUGCACAUAACUACUGUCAAGUACAGUGACUCGCGGCAGGUAACCGGAGAAAAGAAAAUAAAAUAAUAAUAAACAUAUAAAAGAUGCACAAGCACGUGAUUUAAACGGAAAAAGAAACUGUGCUACAAAACUAAACUACGGGAGUGAAUAAAACGAUCAUCAAGUGACAGCCCCUCCGACAGCUCCACGGAAAUCAAGGAUUCCACGGAAUAACUCAAUCUCACCGGAAAAUUGAUUUUACCGGAAAAUUUGGUCAUUCCAAAUAUAACAAAUAAAAACCCACUAAACUCUAAACCAAAUUCAACAAUAAAUUAUACACUAAAAAGCCCCUAAACUACCCAUUUUUGACCAAAACAAGACUCAAAUCAAACCAAAUGAACUCCAAACUACACCAAAUUUCAAAUCUAGCCUAAACAUAAUAUUUACAACAUAAACCCACUAACCUCAAUUUAAAAUCAUAAACUAAAAUUUACACCAAAAAGCCCCCAAAAAUACUAAAACCAAGAACAAGAACAAUACCAAAGCAUACCAAACUAACUUCAAAUCAAGCCAAACUUCAAAACUAGCUUAUCUACCAUGUUUCUAACAAAACCCCAUCAAAAUACAAACCAAAAUAUCAACUACAUCAUUGAACCCACUAAUAAUAUUGAGAAUUAGAAGGGGCUCAAGCUAAAUACUAAAAAUGUAAGCUUAAAACAUAAACUAAAGGCUCUUUCAACCCACAAGUGGUUGGCACAAAUGCCACUUUAUCCACUUGUUGAAGGGAAAGUUGGUCAUAGCCAUAAAUUUCAACAAGGUAAGAAUUCAAGAGAUAAAGAAACCAAACUUGAACUUGUAUAAAUGAAAGUGUUUACAAUAUUUGAGAGAUUACAAUUUGAAAGAACAAGCUAUUUUAGAUGUUGAGAAUGAUAAAGGAGGCUACUAACAACUAGGUAAAAACUAGGGUAAAGACUAAG
RNAcentral lists this long non-coding RNA (10341 nucleotides) under Daucus carota (carrot). RNAcentral describes it as "long non-coding RNA (DCAR_LNC001953)". The record is from RNAcentral. Lineage: Eukaryota; Viridiplantae; Streptophyta; Magnoliopsida; Apiales; Apiaceae.